GGCUCUGGGCCUAGUCUAAAUAUAGAAGCUCAGAAGUUCACUCCGAACAGUCUAACACACACAAUUCACUGGGUCAUCAGUGCCACUCGAAGUUAUGCUUGGUGUCACAUGAAAGCAUUUCAUCUCAGUAGUACAUCUGAACCAGCUACACGGAAAAAGCCACCUACAUUUUCCGCAUGUGUAUAACUGCUACCGGGAGUUAAAGCAGCAUCUAAAAUAUUUGCUGCAGGUCUACAUUUUGUCAUCUGGAGAUUUAUCUCAUACUUCCACGCAGCAACGGAUGGGCAUGAUAUGAAAAUAAAAUAAACCUAAAGAGGAACAAGCCAAAACCAA
Molecule: long non-coding RNA, 333 nt
Organism: Schistocerca serialis cubense
Lineage: Eukaryota; Metazoa; Arthropoda; Insecta; Orthoptera; Acrididae
Exons: 2
Source: RefSeq, a predicted model, not a curated record